RNAcentral lists this ribosomal RNA (564 nucleotides) under Trichoderma aeroaquaticum. RNAcentral describes it as "eukaryotic LSU rRNA". It matches the Rfam family "Eukaryotic large subunit ribosomal RNA", at positions 62 to 648 of the family's 3401-position model. The record is from RNAcentral. Lineage: Eukaryota; Fungi; Ascomycota; Sordariomycetes; Hypocreales; Hypocreaceae.
AAACCAACAGGGAUUGCCCCAGUAACGGCGAGUGAAGCGGCAACAGCUCAAAUUUGAAAUCUGGCCCCUCCGGGUCCGAGUUGUAAUUUGUAGAGGAUGCUUUUGGUGAGGUGCCGCCCGAGUUCCCUGGAACGGGACGCCACAGAGGGUGAGAGCCCCGUCUGGCUGGCCACCGAGCCUCUGUAAAGCUCCUUCGACGAGUCGAGUAGUUUGGGAAUGCUGCUCAAAAUGGGAGGUAUAUGUCUUCUAAAGCUAAAUAUUGGCCAGAGACCGAUAGCGCACAAGUAGAGUGAUCGAAAGAUGAAAAGCACCUUGAAAAGAGGGUUAAACAGUACGUGAAAUUGUUGAAAGGGAAGCGCUUGUGACCAGACUUGGGCGCGGCGGAUCAUCCGGGGUUCUCUCCGGUGCACUUCGCCGCGUUCAGGCCAGCAUCAGUUCGCCGCGGGGGAAAAAGGCUUCGGGAACGUGGCUCCUCCGGGAGUGUUAUAGCCCGUUGCAUAAUACCCUGCGGUGGACUGAGGACCGCGCAUCUGCAAGGAUGCUGGCGUAAUGGUCACCAGCGAC